This 780-nucleotide ribosomal RNA is filed under the name Lactiplantibacillus pentosus. RNAcentral describes it as "bacterial SSU rRNA". It matches the Rfam family "Bacterial small subunit ribosomal RNA", at positions 70 to 838 of the family's 1533-position model. The record is from RNAcentral. Lineage: Bacteria; Bacillati; Bacillota; Bacilli; Lactobacillales; Lactobacillaceae.
CAUCAUGAUUUACAUUUGAGUGAGUGGCGAACUGGUGAGUAACACGUGGGAAACCUGCCCAGAAGCGGGGGAUAACACCUGGAAACAGAUGCUAAUACCGCAUAACAACUUGGACCGCAUGGUCCGAGUUUGAAAGAUGGCUUCGGCUAUCACUUUUGGAUGGUCCCGCGGCGUAUUAGCUAGAUGGUGGGGUAACGGCUCACCAUGGCAAUGAUACGUAGCCGACCUGAGAGGGUAAUCGGCCACAUUGGGACUGAGACACGGCCCAAACUCCUACGGGAGGCAGCAGUAGGGAAUCUUCCACAAUGGACGAAAGUCUGAUGGAGCAACGCCGCGUGAGUGAAGAAGGGUUUCGGCUCGUAAAACUCUGUUGUUAAAGAAGAACAUAUCUGAGAGUAACUGUUCAGGUAUUGACGGUAUUUAACCAGAAAGCCACGGCUAACUACGUGCCAGCAGCCGCGGUAAUACGUAGGUGGCAAGCGUUGUCCGGAUUUAUUGGGCGUAAAGCGAGCGCAGGCGGUUUUUUAAGUCUGAUGUGAAAGCCUUCGGCUCAACCGAAGAAGUGCAUCGGAAACUGGGAAACUUGAGUGCAGAAGAGGACAGUGGAACUCCAUGUGUAGCGGUGAAAUGCGUAGAUAUAUGGAAGAACACCAGUGGCGAAGGCGGCUGUCUGGUCUGUAACUGACGCUGAGGCUCGAAAGUAUGGGUAGCAAACGGGAUUAGAUACCCUGGUAGUCCAUACCGUAAACGAUGAAUGCUAAGUGUUGGAGGGUUUUCCGC